Non-coding RNA from Sus scrofa (pig), 747 nucleotides. The record is from RefSeq and is a predicted model, not a curated record. Lineage: Eukaryota; Metazoa; Chordata; Mammalia; Artiodactyla; Suidae.
AGGAAACGCCAAGAAUGUGCCACGCCCCACCUACAGCGACUGCGCAGGCUCCAGCGAAGCGCUGUGGGCUUGGUGCGGGCGCAGACGUCCUACCCCGUCUGGUCAGCGCUAGUCAGGGUUGGUUUUCGGGUGGUUUUUUUUGUGUUUGUUAUGUCUUGUCUUGCUUUGUUUGCCUCCUAAGGACAGUACCUUUUGGAGGGACAGUGUCAGUAGAAGGAGAGACGGUGGGAGAGUUCCAUGGUGUGCUGGCCUGACAGCGCAUCGGCCUCUGUGCCUUCUGAAAGCUCUGCGCUGUGGUACCUGUCUUCUGGUUCUACGAAUUUCAAUCAGUGUGACAGUGCCUAAAAGCAUCACAGACAACCACAGUUUACAUGUAUAAGACAGUAUGACAGUUAUAAUAGCCUUAAACACUUGAACCGUCACCAUACACAAGUACAGUGCUAAAUUUUUCACGGAUUGUCUCACUUAAGCCAGCCAACAGCCUUAUAAGGUUUUGGUCCCACCGCUCCAGUGAAAUGGCUGUUCUCAACGUCACCAGAUUCCAGGACCAAAACCCCUCACCACCAACUGUUUAGUCUGGCUAUAAGAAAAUGGAUACAUUUUAUUCUGAAAAAGUAAGUUACCUAAAUUGAAAAAAGUGUCUCUUCUUUCAGUCUUUACUCCAAUAGAGGCCCCCUCUCCAGCCACUUCCAACCAAGUAAGGGCACUUAUUCUGUCACUGAAGCUUGUCUCCUGAUAACGUUAUUG